UGUUCUAGAGCAGUGUGCGGACCAAAAUGCCCCUCAAUUCGUUAGUUAAGUCACCUUUUUGCCUUCUUUUCUACAGUGAAAUGACUUCCUUACCCUCCGAGGCCACGCGUUUAUCCUCUCCUUCUUCUGGAUUUGCCCGCCUUGCCCACGCGUCGAUCAUCAGGAAAAAGUUCUGCUUCGGCAUUUUCUCCACUUUUCCUUCCGUAUUCACUUUUCUCUCGAACAAAAGUCUGCUUCUAUCGCUCUCAAAUCUCGACUUCUCUCUGCGUCUCUCACUUAUCUCUCAGCUGUCUCUCUCACUCUUGAGGUACCCUGCCACUGGAUAUCGUUUGACGUUGCCGAUCUGCAAGGUGAUUUGUUACCUCCAAGGUCCACCGUCGUUUAUUGGUCACUGUGCUUUUCGUUUUUUGGGGCUUAUGUAUACAAGCUUGGAAGCCAAUUAUGUUCAAGGUUGUUCUAGACUUUGUCGAUACUGCACAGUUCUCUUCGUAGCCCAUUUCUAUUUCGUAUAGGAGAGCUUGAUAACAGGUAUGGGUGUGGACACCCAAUAUGACAUUUACAUGGUGAUGCUAUCUGGUUUCACAUAAUUAUACUGGGAACCGUCGAAAUUUUGGUUUAGCUGCAGAUAAAACAAAAUCAAAACGUUACAAAGUAGAGGUAUAAUUUAAUUUUUAUAUUUGAUGCAUCAUUGGAUUAAAUGAAUAUAGUAAGAAGAUUGACUUGACGUAUGUGCUUUCGUUUUAUAUUUAGAAUGGAUGUUUUCCUUAAAUUUGCUAUUAAUUGGUUUUGGUUUUCCUCACCGAGCAUGUGAAGGGUGUAAUCUACCUAAAGUAAAUAACCCAAACAGUUGAAAAUGCACUCACCUGUUUUAUUGAUAACCAUACAGAGAUUUGAAUCAUUCAAUUUGUGUUAAAAUAUUGUAUUGUUUUAAUUUCAAUGCUUUCUUCUUAAUUUGUAUCAGCUUUUUAGCUUAUUAGUUGCUUAUAUAAUUAUUCCUGUGUUUUUUUGUAAAUUUACGAAGAAGGAUUGCAAAAAAAUCACUUAAUGCUUUGGAAAAUUGCUUGGUGAUUCUAUUUGGAUACAUUGAUAGUAGAUUUCGUAUCAACUACCAUGCGUCCAACUACGUACCUUCUUCGUUUAAUUUAAAAUGGUCUGCAAUGACAUCGAUUGUAUCAAAAAGUUCGUGCACCAAAUUUAUGCUUUUCAUGUAAAAUUCUUUCAAAAAGUUCAAACAUCUUUCAAUUUAAAUAACAUUAACGAUUUAUAACAA
This is a non-coding RNA of Malus domestica (apple), 1270 nucleotides long. The record is from RefSeq and is a predicted model, not a curated record. Lineage: Eukaryota; Viridiplantae; Streptophyta; Magnoliopsida; Rosales; Rosaceae.